Molecule: long non-coding RNA, 660 nt
Organism: Lynx canadensis (Canada lynx)
Lineage: Eukaryota; Metazoa; Chordata; Mammalia; Carnivora; Felidae
Exons: 2
Source: RefSeq, a predicted model, not a curated record
GGGCUUUGCUCCUAUCGAAAGUGUUCGUCAGGGUGAUUUUUGAUGACCACAAUCCAGAAGUGCUGGCGUCCGAAUGCAUUUUCUUUUGCUUGGCCAAGAAGAGUCGUGAACUUCAAAACCCCCGACACGGAUUAUCAAUCCUGCUUUGCAGGGAAGGAAAACCCUCAAUCCCCUGCCCCCCCGCCACCCCUCUCCGGAGAUUCUGCAAUCGCUGAGGCGCUCCGAGUCGGAAGGGGACGCUUUGGGAAUGACCAUGCUCCACGGAGGGACAGAGCCGGCCCCCAGCUUCUCUACACAGAACCUCCUCCACUAAAGCUCCAAAAAUCAAAAACCGUAAUUGCCAGAAGAAGCAUUAAAAAAAUAGCCCAGCCACUAACCUCACAUGCAAAUGGAAUAAUUACUCUGGAUUCUGCAUUGUGAGCUGCUCUCCAUAUCCUGAAUUACCUCUGAAUUCAGUCUUUUUUCUUUGAAUUUGCAUCUCUUCAAGACACAAGAUUAAAACAAAAUUCACGCAAAAUUGGAUUUUAAAUUAUCUUCCUUUCAUUUAUCCUUCGUCUUUCUUAUAUGGAUAUGCCAGCGAGAAGAGGAGACUGGACAUUCCCAACAUGCUCACUCCCUUAAUCUGUCCGUCUAGAGGUUUGUCUUCUACAAACCAAGGUA